ACUCCUACGGGAGGCAGCAGUGAGGAAUAUUGGACAAUGGGUGGAAGCCUGAUCCAGCCAUCCCGCGUGCAGGAAGACGGCCCUAUGGGUUGUAAACUGCUUUUAUCUGGGGAUAAACCUACUUACGUGUAAGUAGCUGAAGGUACCAGAAGAAUAAGCACCGGCUAACUCCGUGCCAGCAGCCGCGGUAAUACGGAGGGUGCAAGCGUUAUCCGGAUUUAUUGGGUUUAAAGGGUCCGUAGGCGGACUGAUAAGUCAGUGGUGAAAUCCGACAGCUUAACUGUCGAACUGCCAUUGAUACUGUUAGUCUUGAGUAAGGUUGAAGUGGCUGGAAUAAGUAGUGUAGCGGUGAAAUGCAUAGAUAUUACUUAGAACACCAAUUGCGAAGGCAGGUCACUAAGUCUUAACUGACGCUGAUGGACGAAAGCGUGGGGAGCGAACAGGAUUAGAAACCCCUGUAGUCCCAUGAU
Molecule: ribosomal RNA, 470 nt
Filed under: uncultured organism
Description: partial 16S ribosomal RNA
Rfam family: Bacterial small subunit ribosomal RNA
Source: RNAcentral